RNAcentral lists this ribosomal RNA (252 nucleotides) under uncultured bacterium. Its description in RNAcentral is "partial 16S ribosomal RNA". It matches the Rfam family "Bacterial small subunit ribosomal RNA", at positions 524 to 776 of the family's 1533-position model. The record is from RNAcentral.
GACAGAGGGUGCAAACGUUGCUCGGAAUUACUGGGCGUAAAGCGCGUGUAGGUGGAUUGGUGUGUCAGAUGUGAAAGCCCUGGGCUCAACCCAGGAACUGCACCUGAAACUACCAGUCUUGAGUGGUGGAGAGGGAAGUGGAAUUCCUGGUGUAGAGGUGAAAUUCGUAGAUAUCAGGAGGAACACCGUGGCGAAGGCGGCUUCCUGGACACCAACUGACGCUGAGACGCGAAAGCGUGGGGAGCAAACAGG